GCCUGGGUGGCUAAGGCGGUUAAGUGUCCGACUUCAGCUCAGGACAUGAUCUCACGGUUUGUGGGUUCAAGCCCCGCAUCAGGCU
Molecule: transfer RNA, 85 nt
Filed under: Felis catus (domestic cat)
Lineage: Eukaryota; Metazoa; Chordata; Mammalia; Carnivora; Felidae
Rfam family: tRNA
About the family: Transfer RNA (tRNA) molecules are approximately 80 nucleotides in length. Their secondary structure includes four short double-helical elements and three loops (D, anti-codon, and T loops).
Source: Rfam by way of RNAcentral